RNAcentral lists this long non-coding RNA (234 nucleotides) under Phoenix dactylifera (date palm). RNAcentral's name for it is "long non-coding RNA (PDAC_LNC002676)". The record is from RNAcentral. Lineage: Eukaryota; Viridiplantae; Streptophyta; Magnoliopsida; Arecales; Arecaceae.
AUUUAUGCAAGCAGAUAAAAGACAAAGGAUGAAGUGCUUUGAGGCCUGUGCAAGCAAAUAAAUGCUAAAGGAUGGAGUGCUUUGAGAUUUGUGUAGGUAGAUGAAUGCUAGAGGAUAGAGUGCUUUGAGAUCUAUGCAGAUGGAUGGAUGAAAAAGAAUGGAGUGUUUUCAGCUCUGUGCAAGUGGAUGGAUGAUGAAGGAUAGACCACUUUGAGAUUUAUGCAAGCAAAUGGA